This 396-nucleotide ribosomal RNA is filed under the name Triticum aestivum (bread wheat). RNAcentral describes it as "partial small subunit ribosomal RNA". The record is from RNAcentral. Lineage: Eukaryota; Viridiplantae; Streptophyta; Magnoliopsida; Poales; Poaceae.
AUGGCGGCCAGCGAGCCGUCCAGCGGGAGCAGGUCGAGCGGCACGGCGGGGUCGCCGAUACUGGGCCUGGUCACCGCGCCCGACACCCUCAGAGCAUGCAAAACGCCACCAACAACAACAAUGACGACGACGACACCUAAAGCUGUGGCGCCGGCGGCCCGACACGAGGACGGGGAGGAGGGGGACGACAUGAGCGACCACCAGCAGAGGAACACGCCGUGGACGGAGUGGGUCGAGGAGUACGAGCCCGGCGUGUUCAUCACCGUCCGGGCCUACCCCGACCACCCCAUGCAGCUCCGGCACGUCGAACUCAGCCGUGACAAGUUCGGGGAGGUAAAGGCGAGGGUGUGGUGGCAGGAGAACAAGGACAGGCUGCGCAGCUUCUACUCCUUCUGA